Molecule: ribosomal RNA, 1083 nt
Filed under: Salmonella enterica subsp. enterica serovar Enteritidis
Lineage: Bacteria; Pseudomonadati; Pseudomonadota; Gammaproteobacteria; Enterobacterales; Enterobacteriaceae
Description: partial 23S ribosomal RNA
Rfam family: Bacterial large subunit ribosomal RNA
Source: RNAcentral
CUGCGAUAAGCGCCGGUAAGGUGAUAUGAACCGUUAUAACCGGCGAUACCCGAAUGGGGAAACCCAGUGUGACUCGUCACACUAUCAUUAACUGAAUCCAUAGGUUAAUGAGGCGAACCGGGGGAACUGAAACAUCUAAGUACCCCGAGGAAAAGAAAUCAACCGAGAUUCCCCCAGUAGCGGCGAGCGAACGGGGAGGAGCCCAGAGCCUGAAUCAGCAUGUGUGUUAGUGGAAGCGUCUGGAAAGGCGCGCGAUACAGGGUGACAGCCCCGUACACAAAAGCGCAUGUGCUGUGAGCUCGAUGAGUAGGGCGGGACACGUGGUAUCCUGUCUGAAUAUGGGGGGACCAUCCUCCAAGGCUAAAUACUCCUGACUGACCGAUAGUGAACCAGUACCGUGAGGGAAAGGCGAAAAGAACCCCGGCGAGGGGAGUGAAAAAGAACCUGAAACCGUGUACGUACAAGCAGUGGGAGCACCCUUUGGGUGUGACUGCGUACCUUUUGUAUAAUGGGUCAGCGACUUAUAUUCUGUAGCAAGGUUAACCGAAUAGGGGAGCCGGAGGGAAACCGAGUCUUAACCGGGCGUUAAGUUGCAGGGUAUAGACCCGAAACCCGGUGAUCUAGCCAUGGGCAGGUUGAAGGUUGGGUAACACUAACUGGAGGACCGAACCGACUAAUGUUGAAAAAUUAGCGGAUGACCUGUGGCUGGGGGUGAAAGGCCAAUCAAACCGGGAGAUAGCUGGUUCUCCCCGAAAGCUAUUUAGGUAGCGCCUCGUGAAUUCAUCUCCGGGGGUAGAGCACUGUUUCGGCUAGGGGGCCAUCCCGGCUUACCAACCCGAUGCAAACUGCGAAUACCGGAGAAUGUUAUCACGGGAGACACACGGCGGGUGCUAACGUCCGUCGUGAAGAGGGAAACAACCCAGACCGCCAGCUAAGGUCCCAAAGUCAUGGUUAAGUGGGAAACGAUGUGGGAAGGCCCAGACAGCCAGGAUGUUGGCUUAGAAGCAGCCAUCAUUUAAAGAAAGCGUAAUAGCUCACUGGUCGAGUCGGCCUGCGCGGAAGAUGUAACGGGGCUAAACCAUG